GAUGAACGCUGGCGGUAUGCUUAACACAUGCAAGUCGAACGGACUCUUCGGAGUUAGUGGCGGACGGGUGAGUAACGCGUGAGAAUCUGGCUUUGGGUUCGGGACAACCACUGGAAACGGUGGCUAAUACCGGAUGUGCCGAGAGGUAAAAGAGAAAUUGCCUGAAGAUGAGCUGGCGUCUGAUUAGCUAGUUGGUGAGGUAAAGGCUCACCAAGGCAGCGAUCAGUAGCUGGUCUGAGAGGAUGACCAGCCACACUGGGACUGAGACACGGCCCAGACACCUACUGGAGGAAGCAGUGGGGAAUUUUCCGCAAAUGGCGAAAGCCUGACGAAGGAAUACCGCGUGAGGGAAGAAGGCUCUUGGGUUGUAAAGCUGUUUUCUUAGGGAAGAACAAAAUGACGGUACCUAAGGAAUAAGCACCGGCUAACUCCGUG
Molecule: ribosomal RNA, 435 nt
Filed under: uncultured bacterium
Lineage: Bacteria
Description: partial 16S ribosomal RNA
Rfam family: Bacterial small subunit ribosomal RNA
Source: RNAcentral